CUUCUCAGCCAUCUCUCCAGCCCACAAUAAAUAAUUUUGAAAAAUGUUUUAUUUUUAGGGCUGGAGAGAUGGCUGAGCAGU
RNAcentral lists this microRNA precursor (81 nucleotides) under Jaculus jaculus (lesser Egyptian jerboa). RNAcentral describes it as "miRNA (ENSJJAG00000002796.1)". The record is from RNAcentral. Lineage: Eukaryota; Metazoa; Chordata; Mammalia; Rodentia; Dipodidae.